GCAGUCGAGCGGACAGAAGGGAGCUUGCUCCCGGAUGUUAGCGGCGGACGGGUGAGUAACACGUGGGUAACCUGCCUGUAAGACUGGGAUAACUCCGGGAAACCGGAGCUAAUACCGGAUAGUUCCUUGAACCGCAUGGUUCAAGGAUGAAAGACGGUUUCGGCUGUCACUUACAGAUGGACCCGCGGCGCAUUAGCUAGUUGGUGGGGUAAUGGCUCACCAAGGCGACGAUGCGUAGCCGACCUGAGAGGGUGAUCGGCCACACUGGGACUGAGACACGGCCCAGACUCCUACGGGAGGCAGCAGUAGGGAAUCUUCCGCAAUGGACGAAAGUCUGACGGAGCAACGCCGCGUGAGUGAUGAAGGUUUUCGGAUCGUAAAGCUCUGUUGUUAGGGAAGAACAAGUGCGAGAGUAACUGCUCGCACCUUGACGGUACCUAACCAGAAAGCCACGGCUAACUACGUGCCAGCAGCCGCGGUAAUACGUAGGUGGCAAGCGUUGUCCGGAAUUAUUGGGCGUAAAGGGCUCGCAGGCGGUUUCUUAAGUCUGAUGUGAAAGCCCCCGGCUCAACCGGGGAGGGUCAUUGGAAACUGGGAAACUUGAGUGCAGAAGAGGAGAGUGGAAUUCCACGUGUAGCGGUGAAAUGCGUAGAGAUGUGGAGGAACACCAGUGGCGAAGGCGACUCUCUGGUCUGUAACUGACGCUGAGGAGCGAAAGCGUGGGGAGCGAACAGGAUUAGAUACCCUGGUAGUCCACGCCGUAAACGAUGAGUGCUAAGUGUUAGGGGGUUUCCGCCCCUUAGUGCUGCAGCUAACGCAUUAAGCACUCCGCCUGGGGAGUACGGUCGCAAGACUGAAACUCAAAGGAAUUGACGGGGGCCCGCACAAGCGGUGGAGCAUGUGGUUUAAUUCGAAGCAACGCGAAGAACCUUACCAGGUCUUGACAUCCUCUGACAACCCUAGAGAUAGGGCUUUCCCUUCGGGGACAGAGUGACAGGUGGUGCAUGGUUGUCGUCAGCUCGU
This 1023-nucleotide ribosomal RNA is filed under the name Bacillus sp. UA-G026. RNAcentral's name for it is "bacterial SSU rRNA". It matches the Rfam family "Bacterial small subunit ribosomal RNA", at positions 57 to 1063 of the family's 1533-position model. The record is from RNAcentral. Lineage: Bacteria; Bacillati; Bacillota; Bacilli; Caryophanales; Bacillaceae.